UGGGGAAUAUUGGACAAUGGGCGCAAGCCUGAUCCAGCCAUGCCGCGUGUGUGAAGAAGGCCUUUUGGUUGUAAAGCACUUUAAGCGAGGAGGAGGCUACUUGGAUUAAUACUCUAGGAUAGUGGACGUUACUCGCAGAAUAAGCACCGGCUAACUCUGUGCCAGCAGCCGCGGUAAUACAGAGGGUGCGAGCGUUAAUCGGAUUUACUGGGCGUAAAGCGUGCGUAGGCGGCUUCUUAAGUCGGAUGUGAAAUCCCUGAGCUUAACUUAGGAAUUGCAUUCGAUACUGGGAAGCUAGAGUAUGGGAGAGGAUGGUAGAAUUCCAGGUGUAGCGGUGAAAUGCGUAGAGAUCUGUAGGAAUACCGAUGGCGAAGGCAGCCAUCUGGCCUAAUACUGACGCUGAGGUACGAAAGCAUGGGGAGCAAACAGG
Molecule: ribosomal RNA, 430 nt
Filed under: bacterium
Lineage: Bacteria
Description: partial 16S ribosomal RNA
Rfam family: Bacterial small subunit ribosomal RNA
Source: RNAcentral